CGCGACCCCAGGUCAGGCGGGGC
Molecule: ribosomal RNA, 23 nt
Filed under: Pemphis acidula
Lineage: Eukaryota; Viridiplantae; Streptophyta; Magnoliopsida; Myrtales; Lythraceae
Also listed under: 27 other names
Description: partial 26S ribosomal RNA
Source: RNAcentral